UACGAAGGGGGCUAGCGUUGCUCGGAAUCACUGGGCGUAAAGGGUGCGUAGGCGGGUCUUUAAGUCAGGGGUGAAAUCCUGGAGCUCAACUCCAGAACUGCCUUUGAUACUGAAGAUCUUGAGUUCGGGAGAUGUGAGUGGAACUGCGAGUGUAGAGGUGAAAUUCGUAGAUAUUCGCAAGAACACCAGUGGCGAAGGCGGCUCACUGGCCCGAUACUGACGCUGAGGCACGAAAGCGUGGGGAGCAAACAGG
Molecule: ribosomal RNA, 253 nt
Filed under: uncultured bacterium
Lineage: Bacteria
Description: partial 16S ribosomal RNA
Rfam family: Bacterial small subunit ribosomal RNA
Source: RNAcentral